CCCUGAACAAGGGAGUGAAAUAGUUCCUGAAACCAUACGCUUACAAGCUGUAGGAGCCCUUCGGGGUGACUGCGUGCCUUUUGCAUAAUGAGCCUACGAGUUACUCGUAUCUAGCAAGGUUAAGUCAUUAAUUGACGCAGCCGAAGCGAAAGCAAGUCUGAAUAGGGCGUUUUAGUUAGGUGCGGUAGACGCGAAACCUUGUGAUCUACCCAUGACCAGGUUGAAGUUGCAGUAACAUGCAAUGGAGGACCGAACCAGUAAACGUUGAAAAGUUUUUGGAUGAGUUGUGGGUAGGGGUGAAAGGCUAAUCAAACUUGGAGAUAGCUCGUACUCCCCGAAAUGCAUUUAGGUGCAGUCUCGGAAUUGAGUGUCAUAGAGGUAGAGCUACUGAUAAGGCUAGGGGGCUUCACCGCCUACCAACCCUUGAUAAACUCCGAAUGCUAUGACAUAUGUCCGGGAAUGAGGGCAUGGGUGCUAAGGUCCAUGUCCGAGAGGGAAACAACCCAGACUAUCAGCUAAGGUCCCCAAGUGUACGCUAAGUUGAUCUAACGAAGUUGGAUUGCAUUGACAGCUAGGAUGUUGGCUUGGAAGCAGCCAUUCAUUUAAAGAGUGCGUAACAGCUCACUAGUCGAGCGAUCCGGCGUGGAUAAUAAUCGGGCAUAAGCGUGCCACCGAAGCUAUAGACUCGAAAGAGUGGUAGGGGAGCAUUCCAGUUGCGUCGAAGUCGUACCGUAAGGUGCGGUGGAGCGUCUGGAAAAGAAAAUGUAGGAAUGAGUAACGAUAAAGCAGGCGAGAAACCUGCUCACCGAAAGACUAAGGUUUCCUGAACAACGCUAAUCGGUUCAGGGUCAGUCGGGACCUAAGGCGAACCCGAAAGGGGUAGUCGAUGGACAACUGGUUAAUAUUCCAGUACUGACUGUAACAGUGAUGGGGUGACGAAGGAGUGAAAGCACCGCGAACAGACGGAAUUGUUCGUUGAAGAGUGUAGGUAUACGAGAGGUAGGCAAAUCCGCCUCUUGUGCUGAAGCUUGAUAGUACCACAAACCUUCGGGCGAGUGGAUAGUGUGCCUAAUCCGACUUCCAAGAAAAACCUCUAAACUUAUGUUGCAGCCACCCGUACCAUAAACCGACACAGGUAGUCGAGGAGAGAAUCCUAAGGUGCUCGAGUGAUUCGUGGUUAAGGAACUAGGCAAAAUAGACCUGUAACUUCGGGAGAAAGGUCCCUCGUAGCAAUAUGAGGCGCAGUGAAAAGAUCCAGGCGACUGUUUAGCAAAAACACAGGACUCUGCUAAGUCGAAAGACGAUGUAUAGGGUCUGACACCUGCCCGGUGCCGGAAGGUUAAGUGGAGGUGUUAUCAACUUCGGUUGAGAAGCACUGAAAUGAAGCCCCGGUAAACGGCGGCCGUAACUAUAACGGUCCUAAGGUAGCGAAAUUCCUUGUCGGGUAAGUUCCGACCUGCACGAAUGGUGUAACGAUCUGGAUACUGUCUCAACCACGAGCUCGGUGAAAUUGUAGUCGCGGUGAAGAUGCCGCGUACCCGUAGCGGGACGGAAAGACCCCGUGCACCUUUACUAUAGCUUCACAUUGACAUUGGAUAAAAGAUGUGUAGGAUAGGUGGGAGACUAUGAAGCUUGGUCGCUAGAUCAGGUGGAGUCGUCCUUGAAAUACCACCCUUCUUUUAUUUGAUGCCUAAUCUGGUUAAACGGAAACAGUGUGUGGUGGGUAGUUUGACUGGGGUGGUCGCCUCCAAAAGAGUAACGGAGGCUUUCAAAGGUGUCCUCAGCACGGUUGGUAAUCGUGCGUAGAGUGCAAUAGCAUAAGGACGCUUGACUGUAAGACCGACAAGUCGAGCAGGUAGGAAACUAGGAUAUAGUGAUCCGGUGGUUCCGUAUGGAAGGGCCAUCGCUCAAAGGAUAAAAGGUACGCCGGGGAUAACAGGCUGAUCCCUCCCAAGAGCUCACAUCGACGGAGGGGUUUGGCACCUCGAUGUCGGCUCGUCACAUCCUGGGGCUGGAGAAGGUCCCAAGGGUUGGGCUGUUCGCCCAUUAAAGUGGCACGCGAGCUGGGUUCAGAACGUCGCGAGACAGUUCGGUCCCUAUCUGCUAUGGGCGUUAGAAAUUUGAGAGGACCUGACUCUAGUACGAGAGGACCGAGUUGGACGAACCUCUAGUGUACCUGUUGUGACGCCAGUUGCAUCGCAGGGUAGCUAUGUUCGGAAGGGGUAAGCACUGAAAGCAUCUAAGUGCGAAACCUGCCUCAAGAUGAGAUUUCUUUUAAGGAUCGUUCGAGACCAGGACGUUGAUAGGUUACAGGUGUAAAGGCAGUGAUGUCAUAGCCGAGUAAUACUAAUUAUCCGUAGCAUUCUAUCUA
Molecule: ribosomal RNA, 2371 nt
Filed under: Flavobacteriales bacterium UBA1986
Lineage: Bacteria; Pseudomonadati; Bacteroidota; Flavobacteriia; Flavobacteriales
Description: bacterial LSU rRNA
Rfam family: Bacterial large subunit ribosomal RNA
Source: RNAcentral